GCAGGCGCGAAGGGCGACGGGCCGGCGAUCGGCAUCGACCUCGGGACGACCUACUCCUGCGUGGCCGUGUGGCGGCCGGUGCACCAACGUGUGGAGGUCAUCGCCAACGACCAGGGCAACCUCACCACGCCGUCUUGUGUCGCCUUCAUCAACGCAUGGAGGCUUGUCGGCGAUGCAGCCGUGAACCAGGCCGACAUGAACCCCGGCAACACAGUUUUCGACGCAAAGCGACUGAUCGGUCGACGAUUCAGCGAAGAGUCAGUACAAGGAGAUAUGAAGUUGUGGCCUUUCAAAGUCAUUUCCGGCCCCAGUGAUCGGCCCAUGAUUGCGGUGCAGUACAUGGGCGAGGAGAAGCAGUUCGCAGCUGAAGAAAUCUCCUCCAUGGUGCUUGUCAAGAUGAGGGAGACAGCCGAGGUCUACCUCGAAACCACCGUAAAGGAUGCUGUGAUCACUGUCCCGGUCUACUUCAAUGACUCGCAGCGCCAGGCCACCCUUGAUGCCGGCACCAUUGCUGGUCUCAACGUCAUACGUAUCAUCAACGAGCCCUCUGCCGCAGCCAUUGCCUACCGACUAGACGAUACGUUGGUUACUGGCGAAGCAAAGACGGUGCUCAUAUUUGAUUUCGGUGGUGGCACCUUGGAUAUCUCUGUCAUCCACAUUGACAAAGGCACCUUUACAGUCAAGGCCACGUCCGGGGACACCCACCUUGGAGGGGUGGAUCUUAACAACAAAAUGAUGGAACACUUUGUGCAGGAAUUCUUGAAGAAACACAAGAGUAACAUCAGUGGCAGUCCGAGGGCUCUGAUGCGGCUUAAGACGGCCUGCGAGAGGGCCAAGAGGAUGCUGUCUUCUACGGCGCAGGCCAAGUUUGAGAUCGACUCGCUCCAUGACGACAUUGACUUCUAUGGGACCAUCACCCGCGCCCGGUUCGAGGAGCUCAACAUGGACCUCUUUUGCAAGUGCAUUGAGCAUGUGGAGAAGUGCCUCGGCGACGCCAAGAUGGACAAGUCACAGAUCCACGACGUCGUGCUCGUCGGCGGCUCCACCAAGAUCCCCAAGGUGCAGCAGAUGCUGCAGGAUUUCUUUGACGGGAAGAAACUCUGCAAGAAAAUCAAUCCGGAUGAGGCCGUCGCCUACGGCGCUGCUAUUCAGGCCGCCAUCCUCAACGGCGAGUACGAUCAGAAGGUGGUGGUCCUUCUCGACGUCACGCCGCUGUCUCUUGGGAUAGAGACGGUCGGUGGUGUCAUGAGCGUGGUGAUACCCAGGAACACCACCAUCCCCGUUAUGAUGGAGGGGCCUUACACGACCGAAUAUGACAACCAGACCACCGCGGGCAUAUAUGUGUACGAGGGUGAAGGGGCAUUGACCAUGGACAACAAGCUUCUGGGCAACUUCACGCUCACUGGCAUCCCUCCAGCGCCAAGGCUCAUGCCAAAGCUCAAAGUGACAUUCGAAAUCGAUACAAAUGGUGUCCUAACGGUGGUGGCUGAGGACAGGACGAGCGGAAACAAGAACUGCAUCACGAUCAUCAACAACAAGGGUGGGUUGAGCAAGGAAGAGAUCGAGCGGAUGGUGCGUGACGCCAACAAAUAC
RNAcentral lists this ribosomal RNA (1593 nucleotides) under Triticum aestivum (bread wheat). Its description in RNAcentral is "partial small subunit ribosomal RNA". The record is from RNAcentral. Lineage: Eukaryota; Viridiplantae; Streptophyta; Magnoliopsida; Poales; Poaceae.